This 932-nucleotide ribosomal RNA is filed under the name Taeniospora sp. 'incredibilis'. Its description in RNAcentral is "LSU rRNA". It matches the Rfam family "Eukaryotic large subunit ribosomal RNA", at positions 38 to 964 of the family's 3401-position model. Lineage: Eukaryota; Fungi; Basidiomycota; Agaricomycetes; Atheliales; Atheliaceae. The record is from RNAcentral.
GCAUAUCAAUAAGCGGAGGAAAAGAAACUAACAAGGAUUCCCCUAGUAACUGCGAGUGAAGCGGGAAAAGCUCAAAUUUAAAAUCUGGCGGUUUCACCGUCCGAGUUGUAGUCUGGAGAAGUGUUUUCCGCGUUGGACCGUGUACAAGUCUCUUGGAAUAGAGCGUCAUAGAGGGUGAGAAUCCCGUCUUUGACACGGACUCCCAAUGCUUUUGUGAUACACUCUCAAAGAGUCGAGUUGUUUGGGAAUGCAGCUCAAAAUGGGUGGUAAAUUCCAUCUAAAGCUAAAUAUUGGCGAGAGACCGAUAGCGAACAAGUACCGUGAGGGAAAGAUGAAAAGCACUUUGGAAAGAGAGUUAAACAGUACGUGAAAUUGUUGAAAGGGAAACGUUUGAAGUCAGUCGCGUCUUCUGAGGAUCAACCUUACGGUGCACUGCUCAGUUGACGGGUCAGCAUCAAUUUUGACUGCAGGAAAAAUCAAGUUGGAAUGUGGCUCCUCUCGGGGAGUGUUAUAGCCUUCUUUUACACUGCAAUUGGGAUUGAGGAACUCAGCAAGCUUUUAUAGUCGGACUUCGGUCACGUAACUUGCUUAGGAUGCUGGCAUAAUGGCUUUAAGCGACCCGUCUUGAAACACGGACCAAGGAGUCUAACAAACCUGCGAGUAUUUGGGUGUUAAACCCAUCUGCGCAAUGAAAGUGAAAGUUGAGACUCCUGUCGUGGGAGGCAUCGACGCCCGGACCAGACCUUUUGUGACGGAUCUGCGGUAGAGCAUGUUUGUUGGGACCCGAAAGAUGGUGAACUAUGCCUGAAUAGGGUGAAGCCAGAGGAAACUCUGGUGGAGGCUCGUAGCGAUUCUGACGUGCAAAUCGAUCGUCGAAUUYGGGYAYAGGGGYKAMAGACUAAUCGAACCAUCUAGUAGCUGGUUCCUGCCGA